ACCGGGCUGGUUGUCGGAGUAGGUCGAGAAGAUCUCGGCCUUCUUCGUCGGCACGGUGGUGUUACGCUUGAUGAGAGGCGUCAUGACACCACCGGCGGUCUCGAUACCGAGGGAGAGAGGAGCGACGUCGAGGAGGAGGAGAUCCUGAGUCUUCUCCGAGGUGUCACCGGUGAGGAUGGCAGCCUGGACGGCAGCACCGUAGGCGACAGCCUCGUCGGGGUUAAUCGACUUGUUGGGCUCCUUCCCGUUGAA
Molecule: unclassified non-coding RNA, 252 nt
Filed under: Hevea brasiliensis (rubber tree)
Lineage: Eukaryota; Viridiplantae; Streptophyta; Magnoliopsida; Malpighiales; Euphorbiaceae
Source: RNAcentral